Molecule: long non-coding RNA, 704 nt
Organism: Neogale vison (American mink)
Lineage: Eukaryota; Metazoa; Chordata; Mammalia; Carnivora; Mustelidae
Exons: 3
Source: RefSeq, a predicted model, not a curated record
AGGACUCCUAGAUCGAGUCGCAUGCUUUUCCAACGGAGCCAGCCAGGCGCCCCUACUAUUCUCCUUCUUCAGAAGAGGAAGCCGAGGCCUAAGGAGAUGAAGGAACUGACCUAAGGUUAAACAGCUGAACCAUGAGCGGGUGAGGCAGGCCUGGGACUAAUGGUGGAGGGAGCUGACCCUAAAGCCUGUGCUCUAUGCCAGCACUUCCGAUCUGAGCGAGCAGCAGCGCCGCCUGGGACACUGGCAGUACCCAUUCCAGGGCCACCGUACUCUAAUGAGGGCAGCACAGACCUGUGUGUGAUCUGGAGAGUACCUGUUUAACAAAUGUCCCGGAGAAUGCUGAGGCAGGAGGUACCCAGGACCUCACCCUGAGAGUAGCCCCCAUCUCCCCAUCAACCACUGACCCUCGAAAGAAGUUUGGCAUUGCCAGGGCUCUUCUUGCUGGAGCUGAAGCUCUACCCUCAUUUAGGAAUGACUGCAAUGCAAGACAAAGGUUGCCGACAGAAGGAAAAGAGAGAUCAAGGGCAUGUGGGAUGAGCCACUCAUGCCCAGGAGGAAAACAAAAAGCUACAUAAUAGCACCGUGCUGCUCUUCGGGUCCCAAAAUCAGUUGCACUUCCUCUGGGACAUCUUCUCUGACUGCCAAAUCUAGCCCUAGGUGUCCCCUUGGCAGUGCUCUGUUGGCUCCCUAUGCAAGACGGCCAG